RNAcentral lists this microRNA precursor (91 nucleotides) under Glycine max (soybean). RNAcentral's name for it is "miR10418 stem-loop (gma-MIR10418)". The record is from miRBase by way of RNAcentral. Lineage: Eukaryota; Viridiplantae; Streptophyta; Magnoliopsida; Fabales; Fabaceae.
UUGAAAACCAAGGUCUUGGGAUUAAUACAAACUUUCUCCUGGUAAAAAACCUUAAGAAUGAAGUAAUCCUAGGAACUCCCUUCAUUAGAGC